Molecule: long non-coding RNA, 1382 nt
Filed under: Nicotiana benthamiana
Lineage: Eukaryota; Viridiplantae; Streptophyta; Magnoliopsida; Solanales; Solanaceae
Description: long non-coding RNA (NBEN_LNC022646)
Source: RNAcentral
GAACUCGCUGGGAGUCGUUGUGACUUUGGAUAUUGUAGUCGGAUUAGAGUUGAUGAAGUGGAGAUGGCUAUGCGUAAGAUGAGCAGGGGCAAAGCAACUAGGCUGGAUGAAAUCCCGGUGGAGUUUUGUAUGAGUACGGGCAAGGCAGGCUUGGAGUGGCUUAAUAGGUUACUUAAUGUCAUUUUUAGAACGAAGAAGAUGCUCGAAAAGUGGAGGUGGAGCAUGAUGGUUCCUGUAUACUAGAACAAGGGUGAUAUCCAAAAUUGCAAUAACUAUAGAGGUAUCAGGCUACUUAGCUAUACUAUGAAAGUCUGGGAGAGAGUGGUAGAGCUAAGGGUGAGGAGGAGUGUGUCUAUUUUCGAAUACCAGUUCGAGUUAAUGCCAGGGCGUUCAACUACAGAAGCCAUCCACCUUGUUGGGGGGGAGGGGGGGGGGGACAAGAGCAUUGUACUGGGUUAUUUGGAACUCGCUGAUAGUCGUUGUGACUUUGGGUAUUGUACGCGGGUUAGAGUUGAUGAAGUGGAGGGGGCUAUGCGUAAAAUGAGCAGGGGCAAAGCGACCGGGCUGGAUGAAAUUCCGGUGGAAUUUUGGAAAAGUGCAGGCAAGACAGGCUUGGAGUGGCUCACUAGGUUAUUUAAUGUUAUUUUUAGAACGAAGAAGAUGCCCGGAGAGUGGAGGUGGAGCAUGAUGGUUCCUGUAUACAAGAACAAGGGUGAUAUCCAAAAUUGCAAUAACUAUAGAGGUAUCAGGCUGCUUAGCCAUACUAUGAAAGUCUGGGAGAGAGUGGUAGAGCUAAGGGUGAGGAGGAAGGUGUCUAUUUUCGAGAACCAGUUUAGAUUUAUGUGGGGCAUUCGACGACAGAAGUCACCCACCUUGUUAGGAUAUUGAUAGAGCAGUAUAGGGAGAGAAAGAAGGACUUGCAUAUGAUGUUCAUCGACUAUCUAUUUUCGAAUACCAGUUCGAGUUAAUGCCAGGGCGUUCAACUACAGAAGCCAUUCACCUUGUUGGGGGGGGGGACAAGAGCAUUGUACUGGGUUAUUUGGAACUCGCUGAUAGUCGUUGUGACUUUGGGUAUUGUACGCGGGUUAGAGUUGAUGAAGUGGAGGGGGCUAUGCGUAAAAUGAGCAGGGGCUAAGCGACCGGGCUGGAUGAAAUUUCGUUGGAGUUUUGGAAGAGUGCGGGCUAGACAGGCUUGGAAUGGCUCACUAGGUUAUUUAAUGUUAUUUUUAGAACGAAGAAGAUGCCCGGAGAGUGGAGGUAGAGCAUGAUGGUUCCUGUAUACAAGAACAAGGUUGAUAUCCAAAAUUGCAAUAACUAUAGGGGUAUCAGGCUGCUUAGCCAUACUAUGAAAGUCUGGGAGAGAGUGGUAGAGCUAAGGGUGA